RNAcentral lists this non-coding RNA (156 nucleotides) under Lepisosteus oculatus (spotted gar). The record is from Rfam by way of RNAcentral. Lineage: Eukaryota; Metazoa; Chordata; Actinopteri; Semionotiformes; Lepisosteidae.
AUCCUAUUCAGUACGAGAAGAACCGCAGGUUCAGAUAUUUGGCGUCUGCGCUUGGCUGAGGAGCCGAUGACGCAGAACUGCCACAUGUGGGAUUAUGACAGAACCAAACUAAACUAGGUGGAGGAGAUCUUAGAGAAGAUCCUGUGUCAGAACCAC